UACGGGGGGGGUUAGUGUUAUUCAUCUUUACUGGGUGUAAAGGGCGUGUAGGCGGUUUUAUUAAUUUUAAAUUAGAAUAAUCUAAACUUAAUUUAGAAACUAAUUUUUAUACUAUUAAACUAGAGGUUAAAAGAAGAAAGCUAUACUUCUCAGAAAAAGGUGAAAUUUGUCCGAACUGGGGGGGAUAACCAAGAAGCGAAAGCGGCUUUCUAUUAUAAUUCUGACGCUUAGGCGCAAAAGCUUGGGUUUCAAACGGG
Molecule: ribosomal RNA, 257 nt
Filed under: uncultured bacterium
Lineage: Bacteria
Description: partial 16S ribosomal RNA
Rfam family: Bacterial small subunit ribosomal RNA
Source: RNAcentral